AAUGGUGGAUAAAAUGCAAGCCCAUUAGCAGAGGCAGAUUUCUGUGCACCGCCACAUGGGAGUUUCACAUGUACCCUGUAUUCCCUUCCUCUUCUCUUCUACUGAUAAUGUCAAUGCACAAGCUACAUCAUCAGGCAUAACUAGUAAUCUGACACCAG
Molecule: long non-coding RNA, 158 nt
Organism: Choloepus didactylus (southern two-toed sloth)
Lineage: Eukaryota; Metazoa; Chordata; Mammalia; Pilosa; Megalonychidae
Exons: 3
Source: RefSeq, a predicted model, not a curated record